This 548-nucleotide transfer RNA is filed under the name Bradyrhizobium sp. S2.7. RNAcentral describes it as "partial 16S-23S ribosomal RNA intergenic spacer". The stretch from base 66 to 138 matches the Rfam family "tRNA". Lineage: Bacteria; Pseudomonadati; Pseudomonadota; Alphaproteobacteria; Hyphomicrobiales; Nitrobacteraceae. RNAcentral also lists the same sequence under 5 other names. The record is from RNAcentral.
GGUCGGAAGUUCAAGUCUUCCCAGGCCCACCACACUCAUCGAGUGAGCAUUCGUCUUCUGGUUACGGGGCCAUAGCUCAGCUGGGAGAGCGCGUGCUUUGCAAGCAUGAGGUCGUCGGUUCGAUCCCGUCUGGCUCCACCAGAUGGUUUGAUUGCCGGCGCAGCUUGCACCUAAAUCGUCCGCGAAACAUCACUUCGCACUUGCUAGUCCGGAUGGACAGUGAGUUGCGUGUUUUCUGACAUUGUAAAGAGGAGAUCGAUCCGAGUUGGAUCGUGCAGAGAAUAUCUGCGCGAGACUUCAUUAUCUCCGGAUCAUUUCGGCGCUCAUGCGUCCUUCAAGGUAGCCUUCGGGCCGCUUCUGAAAGACACGCGAGUUGUAAAUGAUCCUUUUAGCGAAGCUUGACCGCCUCGCUAUCGGAACGAUCUUACGAAGCAAGCUGGUCUUUCUAAUCAUUGUCCGGCUGUACGUAGCGUUCAUCGAGGGCGCGCGCCGCAAGGCAAUCGUACAGACAACAUUCUGCCGAGUGUGUGGACAUUGAUAAUGAGAGC